This 235-nucleotide ribosomal RNA is filed under the name uncultured bacterium. Its description in RNAcentral is "partial 16S ribosomal RNA". It matches the Rfam family "Bacterial small subunit ribosomal RNA", at positions 524 to 755 of the family's 1533-position model. The record is from RNAcentral.
UACAGAGGUGGCAAGCGUUGUUCGGAAUUACUGGGCGUAAAGGGCGCGUAGGCGGCCAACUAAGUCGGAUGUGAAAUCCCCAGGCUUAACUUGGGAACUGCAUCCGAUACUGGAUGGCUUGAAUCCGGGAGAGGGAUGCGGAAUUCCAGGUGUAGCGGUGAAAUGGCGUAGAUAUCUGGAGGAACACCGGUGGCGAAGGCGGCAUCCUGGACCGGCAUUGACGCCGUGAUGAGCG